CGCGAUGAUAUGCAUGCACCGAGUCAUCCUCGCGGAAGUCGCACGAGCGGCGGUCGCCGUCGCCGCGGAGUCGCUCGGGCCGCAGCUGCUCGACCACCCAGAGCGCGCCGCGGGUGCGCGGGUCGUAGCACAGGGAGUUGGCGGAACCCGGACAGGACCCCAGGUCUGUCAGACUCCGAGACGGAGAUCUCCUGAUCAGUUCACCACAGAACAACCAAGACUUCUAGAUUGCCAACGAUUUCCUUAUUACCUGGCGUGAGGAGCAAGGACGCAGGCAGCAGUGGCCAGCUGCUGGACGAACGGAAACUUGGUACAGAGAUUCCAGAAGGCAGCUUUCAUAGUGUGUGUGAAAAGCUUCCAAAGGGUUCAUAUCUUCAACCCACCUAGAGGACUGAGCUGGGGAAAUAAGCUGAGAACGCAAGGAGUUGAAACACAUCCUCAGCGCAGUACGGCUUAUGAUAGAGGCUGCGAUGGCAAAUGUCAAAAUAGGAACUAGUUAAGGGUAUUUUUUUCUUUUUUGUACUUAAAACAGAAUUCAGGCCCUUAAAUAUUUUAAAGUCAUACAGUAACUUUCUCACCACCUAAGGUGAGGGAAGAACAAUACACAAACACGAUAAGUCAAGAAAAUAAUAAUUAUGCAAUAAAAAUCUACGUUUCAAGUAUUUUCUUUAGAUUGUAGGAUGGGGGCAGGGCAUGUCUUAUUACCUACUUUUGAAUUUCCAAGUUUUUUGUAACUUGCUAAAAUAUAAUUGUAUAUAUUGCAA
Non-coding RNA from Ictidomys tridecemlineatus (thirteen-lined ground squirrel), 764 nucleotides. The record is from RefSeq and is a predicted model, not a curated record. NCBI's taxonomy places the organism in Eukaryota, Metazoa, Chordata, Mammalia, Rodentia, Sciuridae.